CUCUCAAGCCGGCGACACCCGUCCUCCGCCUGGCCGUGCGGUAGCCUGGCCAUGUGGGGUGCGCUGCCCCCCGCGGCCGCGAUGCAGGCUAGCCGUGUAGGGCCCGAAGCCGGUGGUGGGAGCUCCUGGGAGGCGACAACGGCCCCGAACGGCCACGCCUCCGCCUCCGCUCACUCCUUCCUCCUCCGUGCAGAUUGAGGCGCCCCGCCAAGGUUUCAAACAUGCUCCCCUUGCUGAAACGUGGCAUUGGCGUGCAUCAUUCUGGUCUGUUGCCCAUCUUGAAGGAAGUGAUCGAGAUUCUCUUCCAGGAGGGCCUCAUCAAGGUUAGCAAAUUUUAUGAAUCUUAUGAUGUCUUGAAUUGCUGUUAUUGCUGAGCCUCAAAAGUACCACAUUGCUGGUGGUAUAUCAACACUCAGCCAGCUACUUUUUUAUUUCGAGCAAUGAUAGUUAGGUGUAGAUGUUUCUAUAUACAUGUUGUACUUUUCUUUUUUUCUUCAAGCAAGAAUUUCAUGCUUCAAAAACUGAGGUGAUAGCUGUUGAUUCCUAGCAGAGAAUAGAUUCUGCUAGUUGCUACUGUGUUCUAAUUCCAUAAUGAGAUUGGAAUAAUUCUUCUUUGAGUAACACGUAAAAUGGAUAGAUCAGGGUUGGGACUAUGAUGUUGGAAUAAUUCUUCUUUGAGUCAUGUUCUUUUAUUCUUCUUCUC
Molecule: long non-coding RNA, 703 nt
Organism: Setaria italica (foxtail millet)
Lineage: Eukaryota; Viridiplantae; Streptophyta; Magnoliopsida; Poales; Poaceae
Exons: 2
Source: RefSeq, a predicted model, not a curated record